AAAGGAGUUAACGGCUAAUUGUUUUAUUUUUUUCUAAAAAAUAUAUAUAUAUUUAUUUCUAUUAUAUAUAUAUUUUUUUCUCUGCUCUUUUCUCCCUUAAACUUUUUAGUGAACUUCACCAAGCUUUAUUAAAUAGUUAAAAUUGUAAAAACCUAAGAGAUAUUUUUAAAAAAAAAAGUGUUAAUAUAAUUGAAUAUAUUGUUUAUUUUUGGGGUUCCCCCUUUGUUGUUGUGAGUGGGGCGCUAAUUAGUGUGGCACCGUUCCUGUUGAUACUGAGCUUUCGCGGCAAAAUGCCCCAAAAGCACUGCAGCUGCUGAGCUGGCGAGAGAGAGAGAGAGAAGUAGGGGAGGGAGAGACAGAGCCUGUGUGUGUAUGCCUGUGCACUAAUUCUGCCCCAUGUCUCACUCAGGUAUGAGUCGAUGUUAAAAGUGGUUUACUUAAUGUUUUAUAACUUUAGAGUUGGUUAAAAAAAAUGAAUUUAAAAAAUAUUUGAAUCAGUUAUUUUUCUCUGUUUUAGUUUAUUGUGUAGUUUAACUGGUCAUGUGCUCUGCCAAUGUUUUAACUAUAUAGCUAACUGUUGGUUAUUGAAAAUACAUGUUUUAAAUGUGAGCAUUGUUUCUCCUAUGUGGAGUUAGUUAUACUGCUGUUCUAUUAGCAUUUAGUUCUAUACAAGUGAUCUGUGAAUUUUUUGUAGCUUUCCAUUUUUUAUAGUUAUAUGUAUUUUAUGUAUUUUGUGAAUAUAUAUAUAUAUAUAAAAAAAAAAAAAGCACUGCAGCUGCUGAGCUGGCGAGAGAGAGAGAGAGAAGUAGGGGAGGGAGAGACAGAGCCUGUGUGUGUGUAUGCCUGUGCACUAAUUCUGCCCCAUGUCUCACUCAGAAUAAACAACGCAGAGCAUCAUA
Astyanax mexicanus (Mexican tetra) is the source of this 899-nucleotide long non-coding RNA. RefSeq lists it as uncharacterized. The record is from RefSeq and is a predicted model, not a curated record. The transcript is spliced from 2 exons. Lineage: Eukaryota; Metazoa; Chordata; Actinopteri; Characiformes; Acestrorhamphidae.